This 452-nucleotide ribosomal RNA is filed under the name uncultured Sediminibacterium sp. RNAcentral's name for it is "bacterial SSU rRNA". It matches the Rfam family "Bacterial small subunit ribosomal RNA", at positions 342 to 791 of the family's 1533-position model. The record is from RNAcentral. Lineage: Bacteria; Pseudomonadati; Bacteroidota; Chitinophagia; Chitinophagales; Chitinophagaceae.
CGGGGGGCAGCAGUAAGGAAUAUUGGACAAUGGACGCAAGUCUGAUCCAGCCAUGCCGCGUGAAGGAUUAAGGUCCUCUGGAUUGUAAACUUCUUUUAUAGGGGACGAAAAAAGGGCAUUCUUGCUCACUUGACGGUACUCUAUGAAUAAGCACCGGCUAACUCCGUGCCAGCAGCCGCGGUAAUACGGAGGGUGCAAGCGUUAUCCGGAUUCACUGGGUUUAAAGGGUGCGUAGGCGGGUAUGUAAGUCAGUGGUGAAAUCUCGAAGCUUAACUUCGAAACUGCCAUUGAUACUAUAUAUCUUGAAUAUUGUGGAGGUUUGCGGAAUAUGUCAUGUAGCGGUGAAAUGCUUAGAUAUGACAUAGAACACCUAUUGCGAAGGCAGCAGGCUACACAUAUAUUGACGCUGAGGCACGAAAGCGUGGGGAUCAAACAGGAUUAGAUACCCGAGU